UACAAUAUUUUACACUUUAUACAUUGCAUGGUAAGAUACAUAAGUGACUUAGUACCACAUAGAGUUCCUAUGAGGUUCAAAAUUUUCACUAUCAUCAUCAUCUCUAUGUGUAUAGUGAGUGUAUUGUGAAGAGUAGUUAUCCAAUUUAAUGAAUAAUAAUCCAAUUUCAUAAAAAAAUAAUCCUAAUAUAAAACAUGGUGAUGAAUAAUAAUCCAAUUUGAUAAUAAUCCAAUUUCAUGAAUAAUAAUCCAAUUUGAUAAUAAAAAAAGGCGACAACAAUCCAAUUGGCAAAAAUGAUUAAAAAAAUCUAAAUUGUCAAACUGACCGACACUCUUAUAGACUCAUUAUAUCACUUUUAUAGACUCAUCUUACCCUUAUAAAUUCAUUAUUUUUCUUGAAAUUGAUUAGAAUCAUUAGAAAAACAAUUUUUUGCAUUUCCAUAUGCCUAACCAAUAAAUACAACUUCUACUAUUUCCCUGAAAUUAUAUAUUUUCACUUUUUCCCUGAAAUUGAGGCCUUUAUCCUAAUAUAAUCUAGACCCCCAGAUUAAUUUAUAUUUUCACUCUUUUUCUGAAAUUAUAUAAAUUGUGCAAUUGAGUCCUUUAUCCUAAUCUAAUCUGGACCCUUCAUCUUGAUUCCCACUCUCUGUCACGCUGCCACGUGGCAGCCCACUAACCCUCACCUUAUCUCUCUCUCUUUUCCCGAGUCCUUCUCGGACCCCUCACUCUCUUUUCCCGAGUCCCUCUCGGACCUCUCGAACUCUCCUUCCCUCUCCUCCUGAACUCUCACCCUCAUGAACUCUCCCUCCCUCUCCUCCUGAACUCUCACCCUCCUGAACUCUCCCUCCCUCUCCUCCGUCUCUGGGAAGCACGGCGACGCGCAGAGGAAGCUCGGCUUCCCCGAUCACACCCACACCCAGGCACACCCAAAUUUGUCCACCCCGAUGCCAGCGCAGCAUCUCCACCACCCUCCCUCCCUCUCCCUCCCUCUCCUCCGUCUCUGGGAAG
This 1007-nucleotide long non-coding RNA is filed under the name Malus domestica (apple). RNAcentral's name for it is "long non-coding RNA (MDOM_LNC017167)". Lineage: Eukaryota; Viridiplantae; Streptophyta; Magnoliopsida; Rosales; Rosaceae. The record is from RNAcentral.